GGCCCGGCUCUUCCCCGCUGCAAAUGGUGCAAACUUGUGUGGCUCCAGCCAGGUGUGGAGUCUAAGAAGUCCAAGGUUGAGGAGCUGCAUCUGAUGAGAGCCUUCUUGCUGGUUGGGAUCCUCUGCAGAGUCUUGAGUUGGGCAUUAAAAACUGUAUCACAGACACAUGAAUAUUGUAGGCCUCAUCUCCAAGUAUUACCACACUGAGGGUCAAGACUUCAACAUAUGGUGGAGAGCAGGAGGUAUUGUGUACUUUUCAAAAUAAGAUCUCCGACAUAGCUGUUUAUCUGGAGUCCCGUGUUUAAUCCUGACAAGAAUGUUGUGGAUGUUGGCUGAAGAAAGUUCUGGAGACUGGAAAAUCCAAAACCACGGCACCAGCAUCUGGUGAAGAUCUUUUCAUGGCAAGAGAGAAAACACAUGCAUGUCAGCUCAAAUCUCUUUCUCUUUUAAUAAUGUUGCUAGUCCCAUCAUGGAGGCCCCAGCCUUAUGACCUUAUCUAAUGCUAAUUACAUCCAAAAGGCUCCACCUCCAAUCAACAUAUGAAUUUGGAAAUUAGGUUUCCAAUACGUGAAAUUUGGGAAAUGUAUUUAAACCACAAACAGCCAGUUUAAAAGAUUUUGCAUUGAAUAAUAAAAGUGAACCAACAAAUGUAU
RNAcentral lists this long non-coding RNA (653 nucleotides) under Homo sapiens (human). Its description in RNAcentral is "HSALNT0085406". The record is from RNAcentral. Lineage: Eukaryota; Metazoa; Chordata; Mammalia; Primates; Hominidae.